Molecule: ribosomal RNA, 576 nt
Filed under: uncultured bacterium
Lineage: Bacteria
Description: bacterial SSU rRNA
Rfam family: Bacterial small subunit ribosomal RNA
Source: RNAcentral
CCUACGGGAGGCAGCAGUGAGGAAUAUUGGACAAUGGGCGCAAGCCUGAUCCAGCCAUGCCGCGUGCAGGAUGAAGCAUCUAUGGUGUGUAAACUGCUUUUAUACAGGAAGAAACCUCCCGACGUGUCGGGAAUUGACGGUACUGUAAGAAUAAGGAUCGGCUAACUCCGUGCCAGCAGCCGCGGUAAUACGGAGGAUCCAAGCGUUAUCCGGAAUCAUUGGGUUUAAAGGGUCCGUAGGCGGGCCAGUAAGUCAGUGGUGAAAUCUCUCCGCUCAACGGGGAAAUGGCCAUUGAUACUGCUGGUCUUGAAUUAUUAGGAAGUAACUAGAAUAUGUAGUGUAGCGGUGAAAUGCUUAGAGAUUACAUGGAAUACCAAUUGCGAAGGCAGGUUACUACUAAUGGAUUGACGCUGAUGGACGAAAGCGUGGGUAGCGAACAGGAUUAGAUACCCUGGUAGUCCACGCCGUAAACGAUGGAUACUAGCUGUUGGGGGCAACUUCAGUGGCUAAGCGAAAGUGAUAAGUAUCCCACCUGGGGAGUACGUUCGCAAGAAUGAAACUCAAAGGAAUUGACGG